UACGUAGGGUGCAAGCGUUAUCCGGAAUUAUUGGGCGUAAAGAGCUCGUAGGCGGUUUGUCGCGUCUGCUGUGAAAACUGGGGGCUCAACCCCCAGCCUGCAGUGGGUACGGGCAGACUAGAGUGAUGUAGGGGAGACUGGAAUUCCUGGUGUAGCGGUGAAAUGCGCAGAUAUCAGGAGGACACCGAGUGGCGAAGGCAGGCUCUGGGCAUUAACUGACGCUGAGGAGCGAAAGCAGUGGGG
RNAcentral lists this ribosomal RNA (243 nucleotides) under uncultured bacterium. Its description in RNAcentral is "partial 16S ribosomal RNA". It matches the Rfam family "Bacterial small subunit ribosomal RNA", at positions 524 to 767 of the family's 1533-position model. The record is from RNAcentral.